This 24845-nucleotide long non-coding RNA is filed under the name Vitis vinifera (wine grape). Its description in RNAcentral is "long non-coding RNA (VVIN_LNC006009)". The record is from RNAcentral. Lineage: Eukaryota; Viridiplantae; Streptophyta; Magnoliopsida; Vitales; Vitaceae.
UGAGGAGAUAAGGCUGGUAUCUUUGGUCAGUAUCUGGUGAGGAAGAAGAGUAUCUGUGGGUGAGUCAAAGCUCUGCCAAAUCACCGUCUUCUCCCAAGCAUAUAGAACAAGAUUGCCGGUGUUAAGGAGCUGUAAUCUCGCAGAUGAGGUUGAAACUGUCACGCCCCAAGACCCACUCCAAGGGCGUGACGGUCAUUUCACACCUCAAACCCGAAGGCUUAAAGUAUAAUCUGACCCGAACAAUCAUAUUAUAACUAGAUGUUACCAAUUACCAAAUACCUGUUCAGAGUAGCAGAACAAAAUCUAAAUUCCUCAAAAUUCAAUUUCCAAAUAACUUCCAAAUAUCAAAUGAUCCAAAUGAACAUAACUAACAGUUAAACAAAAUCCAACAUAAAAUCCUAAGUCAAAUCUUAAUGAUGACCAUUCUUCAGCCUAGCCAUCACUCCUCACCCGAACUAAGAGUACCUGAAAAUUUUCAACAAUUGGGAAUGAGCUCACAGCCCAAUAAGGAAUAUUAAUGCAAUUCAUGGAUCAAAUAUUUUCAUUUCAAAUAGGAGAUAUCAAUUUUUUUUUUUCUCAUCAAAUAUCAGAGUUCCAAAAAUACCAAUAUAUUCAAAAUUCAACCAACCAAUUUCAUAUCAAAUUCAAACACUUUCACAUAAAAUUCAAUCAAAUUCAUUCAAGUUUCAUUACUCUGGUUAUCAAAUAUCAAAUGCCCAGUUAGGUGGGACUUUUCAAAUGGGUGGCUAGCCUCAAAUUGUUCCUGGUGGACGGAACCUAAACACNNNNNNNNNNNNNNNNNNNNNNNNNNNNNNNNNNNNNNNNNNNNNNNNNNNNNNNNNNNNNNNNNNNNNNNNNNNNNNNNNNNNNNNNNNNNNNNNNNNNCCGAACUAAGAGUACUGAAAAUUUUCACAAUUGGGAAUGAGCUCACAGCCCAAUAAGGAAUAUUAAUGCAAUUCAUGGAUCAAAUAUUUUCAUUUCAAAUAGGAGAUAUCAAUUUUUUUUUUUCUCAUCAAAUAUCAGAGUUCCAAAAAUACCAAUAUAUUCAAAAUUCAACCAACCAAUUUCAUAUCAAAUUCAAACACUUUCACAUAAAAUUCAAUCAAAUUCAUUCAAGUUUCAUUACUCUGGUUAUCAAAUAUCAAAUGCCCAGUUAGGUGGGACUUUUCAAAUGGGUGGCUAGCCUCAAAUUGUUCCUGGUGGACGGAACCAAACACUACUAGUACUAGUAACCUCUAACCAAACCCCUAGAGGCUGGGGUCCAAAUCAAUUACAUUCCCACCAUGAAAUGUAAAGGUCAACUAUUAUAUCCCGUUGAUAGGGCCGAAUAGUCAAUUAUUAUAUCCCGUUGACAAGGGUCAAAUAAACCAGAGUGAUGUUUUUGUUCAAGUUUUCAAAUUUACACAACAUAAUAUCUCCAUAUUUUGUGUCAUAAAUAAAACAAAAUAUUCCAACAUAACAUUUAGUGCAAAACAAUUUGAUCCAUGCAUGGUAACAAAAUAUCAUUUUCUUUUCCACAAUUCAAAAUAACAUAUAAGAUAAUUUAAUUUUAUAAAUAUUACAUUAACUUCCCUUACCUCAAAAGAAGUCCUUGAAAGCUUGGGAGAAGAAUAAUUCUGAAAAAAAAAAUAUAAUCUACUCUUCACCUAAUAUAACAUAAAAGAAACAAUUAUUACUAUUUAUUUAUAAUUUAACUAAUCUAUUCCUUAUUAAAAAAAAAUUAAAAAAUUCCCAAUUGGUUUUUAAUAUACCAUUACUAAUUUAAUUAAAUAAUACCUUUAUUUGGCUAUAAAAUUCUAUAUUUAUAUAUUUAUAUAUGGCUAAUUUUCUUUUUCUUUUUUUACCAAAAAUACCAUUUUUAUUUUUUUUUUAUUUAAAAAUUUAAAACUAAUUUUUUUUUUUUAAUUACCCAAUUCCAACCCAUCCACCUUGGGGUACACCAAACCAAAAAGCAAGUUUUUAUUUUUAUUUUUUAUUUUUUUUUCAUUCCCAACCAGGAUCCAUUAAUAUAUAUAUAUAUAUAUAUAUAUAAAAGGGGCUUCCUGGCACACGCACCUUUUUUUUUUUUUUUUAAUAAAAUUAACCCUAACCUAAAAUCAAAACCUUCCAAGAAAUUUUUUUUUUUUUCUAAUAAAACUUAAGAUCUCCCAAAUUCCAAUACUAAAAUCAAAAUAUUAAAUUUUCACUAUUUGAUAUUAAAACGAAUUAAAAAAAUAAUCUAACCCUAAUCUAGAUUUGGGGUUUUCCAAAAAAAUAUAUCUAAUGUGUUUGAAAUUAAUCAAUGAAUCUAAAAUAUUAAACUAGGGGUUAGAAUCUUACCUAUAGAGAUCUGUUCUUCAACCCUGAAAUCUGACUCCAAUCUUACGUUCUCUGGAAUUCUACGAACAGGAAAUCUAUUCAGAAAAAAAGGGAAAAAAAUAAAAUUUCUAAUUUAUACCUAGGGUAUUUAUUCGUAAAAUUACACUUUUACCCUUCUUCCACUUUAUUAAAUUAAUUAAUUAAUUAAUUUAAUUAUUAAUAACAAUUUCCUAAAUUACCCUUAAAAGAAAAUGCUUGGGCAUUACAUCCUCCCCUCCUUAACAAAAGUUUAGUCCUCUAAACUUGACAUACCUGAGUCUUGAAAUAAUUGAGGAUGUUUUUCUCUCAUCUCUUCUUCUAACUCCCAAGUGGCCUCUCGGAUACUAUGAUUGCUCCACUGGACCUUUACCAACUUGACAACAGCAUGUCGUAGUACCUUAUCCAUCAUAUCCACAAUUUGAACGGGUACCUCUUCAUAGGUCAAGUCCUCAAAAUUUUGAAUAGGCUCCAACUCCACAACAUGAGAAGGAUCAUAAAUAUACUUCCUUAGAGUCGAAACAUGAAACACAUUAUGAACCUUAGACAAGCUUGGGGGCAAGACUACUUUAUAUGCCAAAGUGCCUACUCUUUCUAAUAUUUCAAACGGACCCACAAAACGAGGACUAAGUUUUCCUUUUCUCCCAAAUCUCAUCACAUACUUCAUAGGUGAAACUUUCAAGAACACAUGAUCACCCACCUCAAACUCCAAAUCUCGCCUACGAUGAUCAGCAUAACUCUUAUGUCUACUUUGAGCUGCUUUUAAUAUUUCUUUAAUCAAAGCAACCUUUUCAACAGUCAACUGCACAAGUUCAGGCCCCAAAAGUUUCCUUUCUCCAACAUCAUUCCAAUAGAUAGGAGAUCGACAUUUCCUACCAUACAAUGCCUCAAAAGGUGUCAUCCCAAUGCUAGCUUGAAAACUAUUGUUAUAGGCAAACUCUACUAAAGGUAAAUGAUCAUCCCAAUUACCUUGCAGGUCCAAAAUACAAGCUCUCAACAAGUCUUCCAAAACCUUAAUUACCCUUUCUGAUUGGCCAUCAGUUUGAGGAUGGAAAGCAGUACUAAAACUCAACUUAGUGCCCAAAGUUUUUUGUAGACUAUGCCAGAAUCUAGAAGUGAAACGAGGAUCUCUAUCAGACACUAUAGAAACUGGUACUCCAUGCAUUCUCACAAUCUCCUUCACAUAAAGAGAAGCUAAACGAUCUAAAGAAAAGUUCACUUUCAUAGGUAAAAAGUGAGCAGACUUUGUCAACCGAUCAACAAUCACCCAAAUAGCAUUAUUACCCCCUAAGGUUCUUGGCAAUCCUAUCACAAAAUCCAUGGUAAUAUGCUCCCACUUCCACUCAGGAAUAGCAAGUGGCUGCAAAGACCCUGCUGGUCGUUGAUGUUCAGCCUUCACCUGUUGACACACUAAAUACUGAGCCACAAAUUGUGCAAUAUCACGCUUCAUACCUGACCACCAAUAGUUUUGCCUCAAAUCCUUGUACAUCUUUGUCCCUCCUGGGUGGAUUGCAAACUUGGAACAAUGAGCUUCCUCUAAAAGCUCCCUCUUUAAGUCUUCAUCAUUUGGGACACAAAGUCUAGUCCCAAAUCUCAAGAUCUCAUCAUCUGACAAAACAAAAUCAGGCUUACUGUCCCUCUUAACUUCCUCCAUAACUUGCACUAAUUGGGAAUCAUUCUUUUGUAGGGUCUUAAUUCUCCCAACUAAGUCUGGUUGUACUCUGAAAUUUGCUACAAGUGCUCCUAAGCCCAUAACUCGAAAGUGGACUUGUAAACUCCUCAACUCUUCAAGUAACUGCCUUUGACAACCUCUAAUAGCUGCUAGAGAACCAACUGACUUCCUACUCAAGGCAUCAGCUACAACAUUCGCCUUCCCAGGAUGAUACUGAAUAAUACAAUCAUAGUCCUUAAGUAGUUCUAUCCAUCUUCUCUGUCUUAUGUUCAACUCCUUUUGGGAAAAUAGAUACUUCAAACUCUUAUGAUCUGUGAAUAUCUCACAAGUUUCACCAAAAAGAAAAUGUCUCCAAAUCUUAAGUGCAAAAACCACAGCAGCUAACUCCAAAUCAUGAGUAGGGUAAUUCCUUUCAUAAGGCUUCAACUGUCUAGAAGCAUAAGCUACAACUCUCCCAUGUUGCAUAAGAACACAACCUAAACCCUGAUGAGAAGCAUUACUAUACACCACAAAUCCUCCUGAACCUGAAGGGAUAGUCAAAAUAGGAGCUGACACUAAUCUAUUCUUCAACUCUUGGAAGCUACAUUCACAAUCAUCAGACCACUCAAACUUAACUCCCUUCUGUGUCAACUUAGUUAAAGGUAGGGCAAUCUUAGAGAACCCUUCUAUAAACCGCCUAUAGUAACCAGCAAGUCCCAAGAAACUUCGAAUCUCAGUCACAGUACUAGGUCUUCUCCAAUUAGCUACAGCAUCUACCUUGCCAGGGUCAACUGAGAUGCCAUCAUUGCUUACCACAUGCCCAAGGAAAGAAAUUCAGUCUAACCAAAACUCACACUUCUUCAGUUUAGCAUACAACUGCUUAUCUCUGAGGAUAUGUAAUACAAUACUCAAAUGGCCCUCAUGCUCCUCUCUACUUCUUGAGUAUACCAAGAUGUCAUCUAUAAAAACCACCACAAAUUGAUCUAAAUAGGGUUUGAAUACCCUAUUCAUCAAGUCCAUAAAAGCAGCAGGUGCAUUAGUCAAACCAAAAGGCAUAACAAGAAACUCAUAGUGCCCAUACCUAGUUCGAAAAGCAGUCUUGGGUACAUCUUCCCCUCUAACCCUCAACUGGUGAUAACCCGAUCAAAGAUCUAUCUUAGAGAACACACAAGCACCUUGUAACUGAUCAAACAAAUCAUCAAUCCGAGGAAGGGGAUACUUGUUCCUCACUAUCACCUUAUUCAACUCCCUAUAGUCAAUGCAAAGUCUCAUUGAGCCAUCCUUCUUUUUCACAAAUAGAACAGGAGCUCCCCAAGGUGAAACACUAGGCCUGAUAAAACCCUUGUCUAAUAACUCUUGAAGCUGAACUUUCAACUCCUUAAGCUCCACAGGUGCCAUCCUGUAUGGGGCCUUAGACAUAGGACCUAUUCCUAGUACUAGAUCAAUGGUGAACUCCACCUCUCUCUCUGGUGGCAAGCCAGACAAAUCCUCUGGAAAGACAUCAGGAUACUCUCUUACUAUAGGUAUGUCUUCCAACUUCAAAUCACUUUCAUUACUCACCAUACUAGCCAAAAAUCCUUGGCAACCCUUCUUAAGCAAGCUACUAGCACGCAAGGCUGAGAUCAUACGCAGUGGUCUGUCCACAUGCUUCCCUUCAAAGCUAAACUUAGGCUGACCAGGAAUACUAAAUGUCACUCUUUUCUCAAAACAGUCAACAGAGGCAUGGUAGGAAGCUAACCAAUCCAUACCCAAAAUCACAUCAAAAUCCUGAAGGUCAAGGAGUACUAAAUCAACUGGCAUUUCCCUAUAACCAAUCAUCACAAUACAAUUUCUAAGCAUUCUACUGGCCACAACAGAAUCUCCCACAGGAGUAGCAACAAUCAAAUCAAAGUCCAUGCUAACAACAGGCAAACCCAACAAACCAGCAAAAGAUACUGAAACAAAAGAGUGUGUUGAUCCAGGAUCAAUCAGACUCUAGCAAAUAAGGUGUGGAUUCGGAGAGUACCUGUCACCACAUCAGAAGUGGCCUGAGCAUCUCGAUGAGUCAUAGCAAACACCCGUCCUUGGGCUUUGGGUUUCUGUUUUAUCUCCUUAUUUUCCUCUUUAAGCUUCCCAGUGAUGAACUUACCUAUUCCUCUGAUCAAAUGUCCUUGCNNNNNNNNNNNNNNNNNNNNNNNNNNNNNNNNNNNNNNNNNNNNNNNNNNNNNNNNNNNNNNNNNNNNNNNNNNNNNNNNNNNNNNNNNNNNNNNNNNNNGUGAUAACCCGAUCGAAGAUCUAUCUUAGAGAACACACAAGCACCUUGUAGCUAAUCAAACAAAUCAUCAAUCCGAGGAAGGGGAUACUUAUUCCUCACUGUCACCUUAUUCAACUCCCUAUAGUCAAUGCAAAGUCUCAUUGAGCCAUCCUUCUUUUUUACAAAUAGAACAGGAGCUCCCCAAGGUGAAACACUAGGCCUGAUAAAACCCUUGUCUAAUAACUCCUGAAGCUGAACUUUUAACUCCUUAAGCUCCAUAGGUGCCAUCCUGUAUGGGGCCUUAGACAUAGGACCUGUUCCUGGUACCAGAUCAAUGGUGAACUCCACCUCUCUCUCUGGUGGCAAGCCAGGCAAAUCCUCUGGAAAGACAUCAGGAUACUCCCUUACUAUGGGUAUGUCUUCCAACUUCAAAUCACUUCCAUUACUCACCACACUAGCCAAAAAUCCUUGGCAACCCUUCUUAAGCAAGCUACUAGCUCGCAAGGCUGAGAUCAUACGCAGUGGUCUGUCCACAUGCUUCCCUUCAAAGCUAUACUUAGGCUGACCAGGAAUACUAAACGUCACCCUUUUCUCAAAACAGUCAACAGAGGCAUGGUAGGAAGCUAACCAAUCCAUCCCCAAAAUCACAUCAAAAUCCUGAAGGUCAAGGAGUACUAAAUCAACUGGCAUUUCCCUAUAACCAAUCAUCACAAUACAAUUUCUAAGCAUUCUACUGGCCACAACAGAAUCUCCCACAGGAGUAGCAACAAUCAAAUCAAAGUCCAUGCUAACAACAGGCAAACCCAACAAACCAGCAAAAGAUACUGAAACAAAAGAGUGUGUUGAUCCAGGAUCAAUCAAGACUCUAGCAAAUAAGGUGUGGAUUCGGAGAGUACCUGUCACCACAUCAGAAGUGGCCUGAGCAUCUCGAUGAGUCAUAGCAAACACCCGUCCUUGGGCUUUGGGUUUCUGUUUAUCCUCCUUAUUUUCCUCUUUAAGCUUCCCAGUGAUGAACUUCCUAUUCUCUGAUCAAAUGUCCUUGCUUCCCACAACCAAAGCAAGCUCCAGUCUCUCUAUAGCAUGGCCUACCCCCAUGCUUCUUACCACAAGUAGGACAAGCCCCAUCUAAAUUCUGCGCUGCCUUCCCUUUAUUCUGAUUUCUUCCUGAUGUAGACCUUCGCUGUGCUUGAUUACCAUGAGCACCAUCACUCCUAUUUCGCUUCCUUUGCUGUUCCCUAUACUGAUGAAGCUCUUCAUUAUCUUUCUCUGUUAUAAGGGCUCUGUCAACAACCUCUGAAUAGACACCAAGCUUCAGAAUAGAUAUCUUGUUCUUCAAAUAAGGCUUCAAUCCAUCCUGAAACUUUAAUGCCUUUUCCUCCUCUAUAGCAAUCAACUGUGGGGAAAAACGUGAUAACUUUGUAAAUUUGGCCUCAUACUGAGCCACAGUCAUAUCCCUCUGUUCCAAACGAAUAAACUCUCCCACCUUCUGCCACCUAACACUGUCAGGGAAAUACUUCUUGUAGAAAGCCUCCCUAAAUUGUCUCCAUGUUAUGGGUCCCUGAUCCUCCAAAAGUCUCUUAGUCAUACGCCACCAAUGAUCUGUCUCUUUAUCUAACAUAAAAGCUGCAUAAGAGGCUUUUUGCUCCUCAGAGCAAUCUAUGACACCAAAGAAUUUCUCCAUCUUAAGGAUCCAAGCCUCUGCCUCUGUGGGAUCUGUAGCACCAGAAAAGUAAGGAGGACCCAAUUUCUUGAAGUCAUCAAAAGAGCUACCCCUAGAAGAUGAAGACUGUCCCUGAACAUUAGUCCCAACAGCUCGAGCUUGGCGUUCAACUAAACCAACUAGUGUCCCAAGAUACCUAUAGAUCCCUUCUGCACUCACGGGAGGCAAACCCUCAAUUGGAGGUACAUCGUCAUUAGCCUGACUGUUUUGUGAAGAAGUUGUUCUUCUUGGUGGCAUGAUGUCCUAAAAUAAUAAGGCAUAACUAAAUUAGUCACUAAAGAACCAAUUAGAAAAUUUUCCAAUUAAAGAAAGAAUUGGAAUUUAUACUAAAUGAAACUAAAACUUAAACAAAUGCGUUACUCAUCUAUCCCUAAUCUAAACCAAUUCAAAUUCCCAUCAAGAUCAAAACCUAGUGCUCUGAUACCACUCUGUCACGCCCCAAGACCCACUCCAAGGGCGUGACGGUCAUUUCACACCUCAAACCCGAAGGCUUAAAGUAUAAUCUGACCCGAACAAUCAUAUUGUAACUAGAUGUUACCAAUUACCAAAUACCUGUUCAGAGUAGCGGAACAAAAUCUAAAUUCCUCAAAAUUCAAUUUCCAAAUAACUUCCAAAUAUCAAAGAUCCAAAUGAACAUAACUAACAGUUAAACAAAAUCCAACAUAAAAUCCUAAGUCAAAUCCUAAUGAUGACCAUUCUUCAGCCUAGCCAUCACUCCUCACCCGAACUAAGAGUACCUGAAAAUUUUCAACAAUUGGGAAUGAGUUCACAGCCCAAUAAGGAAUAUUAAUGCAAUUCAUGGAUCAAAUAUUUUCAUUUCAAAUAGGAGAUAUCAAUUUUUUUUUUUCUCAUCAAAUAUCAGAGUUCCAAAAAUACCAAUAUAUUCAAAAUUCAACCAACCAAUUUCAUAUCAAAUUCAAACACUUUCACAUAAGAUUCAAUCAAAUUCAUUCAAGUUUCAUUACUCUGGUUAUCAAAUAUCAAAUGCCCAGUUAGGUGAGACUUUUCAAAUGGGUGGCUAGCUUCAAAUUGUUCCUGGUGGACGAAACCAAACACUACUAGUACUAGUAACCUCUAACCAAACCCCUAGAGGCUGGGGUCCAAAUCAAUUACAUUCCCACCAUGAAAUGUAAAGGUCAACUAUUAUAUCUCGUUGACAGGGCCGAAUAGUCAACUAUUAUAUCCCGUUGACAAGGGUCAAAUAAACCAGAGUGAUGUUUUUGUUCAAGUAUUCAAAUGUACACAACAUAAUAUCUCCAUAUUUUGUGUCAUAAAUAAAACAAAAUAUUCCAACAUAACAUUUAGUGCAAAACAAUUUGAUCCAUGCAUGGUAACAAAAUAUCAUUUUCUUUUCCACAAUUCAAAAUAACAUAUAAGAUAAUUUAAUUUUAUAAAUAUUACAUUAACUUCCCUUACCUCAAAAGAAGUCCUUGAAAGCUUGGGAGAAGAAUAAUUCUGAAAAAAAAAUAUAAUCUACUCUUCACCUAAUAUAACAUAAAAGAAACAAUUAUUACUAUUUAUUUAUAAUUUAACUAAUCUAUUCCUUAUUUAAAAAAAAACUAAUAAAUUCCCAAUUUGUUUCUAAUAACACAUUACUAAUUUAAUUAAAUUAUAACUUUAUUUCGCUAUAAAAUUAUAUAUAUAUAUAUAUAUAUAUAUUGCUAAAUCUCUUAUUCUAUUUAUUACAAAAAUACCAUUAUUACUAUUAUCUUAUUUAUAAAUCUAAAACUAAUUAUUAUUAUUUAAUUAACCAAUUCCAAACCACUCAACCUCGGGUACACCAAACCAAAAAGCAAGUUUUUAUUUUUAUUUUUUAUUUUUUUUCAUUGCCAAUCAUGAUCCAUUAAUAUAUAUAUAUAUAUAUAAAAGGGGCUUCCUGGUACACGCACCUUUUUUUUUUAAUAAAAUUAACCCUAACCUAAAAUCAAAACCUUCCAAGAAAUUUUUUUUUUUUUCUAAUAAAACUUAAGAUCUCCCAAAUUCCAAUACUAAAAUCAAAAUAUUAAAUUUUCACUAUUUGAUAUUAAAACGAAUUAAAAAAAUAAUCUAACCCUAAUCUAGAUUUUGGGUUUUCCAAAAAAAUAUAUCUAAUGUGUUUGAAAUUAAUCAAUGAAUCUAAAAUAUUAAACUAGGGGUUAGAAUUUUACCUAUAGAGAUCUGUUCUUCAACCCUGAAAUCUGACUCCAAUCUUACGUUCUCUGGAAUUCUACGAACAAGAACUAUAUUCAGAAAAGAAGGGAAAAAAAUAAAAUUUCUAAUUUAUACCUAGGGUAUUUAUUCGUAAAAUUACACUUUUACCCUUCUUCCACUUUAUUAAAUUAAUUAAUUAAUUAAUUUAAUUAUUAAUAACAAUUUCCUAAAUUACCCUUAAAAGAAAAUGCUUGGGCGUUACAGAAACGGUGUUGAUCAUCCAAACCAUGAUUUUACCAGCAUCAGUUAAGAUGAGAUUGCCAUUCCUCAACAAAGAAAGCUUGGAGCCUCUACCGUUGACCGGUUGGUCAUGGUUCGCCAUCCAAACUGUGGUUGCACCCCAUGAUUUUGUGAACCAUAUGGCGAAGCAGAAAGUGUUGUUGCCGACCUGAUAAAACCCAGCAGAGAAUAUACCAUUUGCUGAAAUGAGAACAUCAUUUGAUUUCUCCACGGAAAGAGACGAGCCUUCGCUCAGAGUAUCAUACGUUUCAGAUGAAGAUGGAUAGCAAGUUAACAGCAAAACCAAAACAAAGAAACCAACUGUCCUAUCCAUGAGUUUUGGGAUAUGGUUCAUGUGCUCUGUUUCCUGAUCAGAUAUUUGCAAUGGAGAAUGCAAGUGUAUGGUGCUACCAGAGUUUAGAAAAUCAAUUGACUCCUUGACUGGGGUGAAGGGGGAAAAUUCACAUUGCCCCUCGGGCCAAGUUUUGCUUGUGCCAUCGUGUUGGGUUUCUAAAAGCAUUUCAUGUCAACGUCAAAAUAUGGGAUGAAGACCCGCUAUUUUUAAUGGGAUCUAUUUUGAUUGGAUGACUUGGGCCAUUCAAAUUUUGUAGUUUCCACUUGGAACAACAAAAUUAUUAUGAGAUACGUCAUUUUGAAGAAAGAUUCUAGAAAUAAGAUGUUAAAUUGAUCUCUUUUCCAUGUAGCUGAACUCGUCAACUGUGAGUCUGAGCCAUAUGAUUUCUGUGCCAUACAGAAGCUUAUUGUUCCAAGUUGCCUGCUCAAAGGUUAACCUGUGAACAGUUUGGAUCUAAAUACAAUGAAUGUGAUGAAAUUUACUGAAACCGGGACUCUCUGACUGGCCUGUGGCCUUUAUGAGUUUUAUUUUAGAGGUGACGUCUGAUGUUGAUUGGCCCAAGCAGGGAAAGAUCAAAUGGGAAACGACGGUCACAACUUGUGGGGUGACUUUCCACUCACCAGGGAACACUUCAAAGAAAUUAUCCCUAAUUUUUAAACGCUUAAUUAUUGCGAUUCGAGGGGUAAAACAUUUUCUUUUAUUGAAUCAAGAUUGAAUUUAAAAUAAUAGUGUUGGUAUUACUCCCUCUCUUUUAUCCUUUUCUUAUUCUAUCUAAUAGUGGUUUUCUCGCCGCCUUUGUGGGCCAAGAUGAACUAAUGCUAAGAAUUUUAUUCAUCUGCUUUCUUUCAAGACUCACUUAUUGAAUAUAAUAUCUCAAUAAAUAUAGAACCAUAUUUUGAUUAUAUUGGUACAAUUAUUGAUACAACUGUUGGCUCCGCUCAAGUCAUUUUGGCGUGGACUUUUAGGGUAUGGUAGAGUGGAGCUUGUAUCACUACUAAUUAUUAAAAUGGUUAAAGGAUGUCUUUGUCAUUUUAGUGCACAUAUAAUUAUUAUUACAAUUGAGGGUCCUCCAAUAUCCCAUUUUUCCAAUUUUGACUUUUGAUCGGAAAAAAUUUAGUAUACAAGGAUAGGAAAAUAUGCUAAAUAAAAUAAUUUUCUCAUAUUUAGGUUUAUUAAAAAUUAUAAAAAAUAAUAUAAUAUAAUAUAAUUAAAAAGUUAUGUAUUUUUAAAUUAGAUAAUUUUUUUAUAAAACAAUUAAAAUAAGUUAAAUGAGUUUGAAAUUCCAUAUAAAAAUAAUUUAUUGAUUUAAAAUCUAUUUUUAUUUCCUUUAACUUUUUUUCAUAUAUUUUUUUUUUGAAUUUUUCAAAUACUUCAAACAGCUAUUUUUAAGUUUGUAUCUUUGUGAAACUCGUGUAAUCGUGACCCAUGAGAACCUUCAAGUCAUUUUGAUUAUAUUGGUACAAUUAUUGGUACAACUGUUGGCUCCGCUCAAGUCAUUUUGGCGUGGACUUUUAGGUUAUGGUUGAGUGGAGCUUGUAUCACUACUAAUUAUUAAUAUGGUUAAAGGAUGUCUUUGUCAUUUUAGUGCACAUAUAAUUAUUAUUACAAUUGAGGGUCCUCCAAUAUCCCAUAUUUCCAAUUUUGAUUUUUCAAGGUAUGAUCGGAAAAAAUUUAGUAUACAAGGAUAGGAAAAUAUGUUAAAUAAAAUAAUUUUCUUAUAUUUAGUUUUAUUAAAAAUUGUAAAAAAUAAUAUAAUAUAAUAUAAUUAAAAAGUUAUGUAUUUUUAAAUUAGGUAAUUUUUUUAUAAAACAAUUAAAAUAAGUUAAAUGAGUUUGAAAUUUUAUAGAAAAUUAAUUUAUUGAUUUAAAAUCUAUUUUUAUUUUCUUUAACUUUUUUUCAUAUAUAUUUUUUUUUUUGUAUUUUUCAAAUACUUCAAGUAGCACCCCAUUUCCUAUUUUCAAGUUUGUAUCUUCGUGAAACUCAUGUAAUCGUGACCCAUGAGAACCUUCAAGUCAUUUUGAUUAUAUUGGUACAAUUAUUGGUACAACUGUUGGCCCCGCUCAAGUCAUUUUGGCGCGGACUUUUAGGGUAUGGUUGAGUGGAGCUUGUAUAACUACUAAUUAUUAAUAUGGUUAAAGGGUGUCUUUGUCAUUUUAGUGCACAUAUAAUUAUUAUUACAAUUGAGGGUCCUCCAAUAUCCCAUUUUUCCAAUUUUGACUUUUCAAGGUCUGAUCGGAAAAAAUUUAGUAUACAGAGAAAAUAUGAUAAAUAAAAUAAUUUUUUCAUAUUUAGUUUUAUUAAAAAUUGUAAAAAAAUAUAUAUAUAAUUAAAAAGUUAUGUAUUUUUAAAUUAGGUAAUUUUUUUUUAUAAAACAAUUAAAAUAAGUUAUAUGAGUUUGAAACUCCAUAUAAAAAUAAUUUAUUAAUUUAAAAUUUAUUUUUAUUUCCUUUAACUUUUUUUCUUAUAUUUUCUUUCGUAUUUUCCAAAUAUUUCAAAUAGCACUCUAUUCCCAUUUUCAAGUUUGUAUCUUUGUGAAACUCAUUUAAUCGUGACCCAUGAGAACCUUCCCAUAACUACAAAGGAAGGUGGCAACAUAUCAUUGGGAGAGUGUCUUAAGAGCCAAAAUUUGACUAGCGGUUGAAAGGAAAAUGCACAAUUAUUGUAGUGGACAAAUACUUUUAACCUCAUUUGUGGAAGCUAGGUUGUUUUUACAAGGGAAACUUGUGUUCCAAGUUAGAUAUUUGAAAGUAAUAUUAUAUUCAAACCCCAAUUAGCUGGAAUAUGAGAUUUGACUAUUAAAAGAGAAAAUAUUAUUGUGUUUGUGCAUUCUAAGUUGGCUCUAUCUUCUAUGCCCAAAUUGCCCUUUUGUUUCUCUAGCUCAACAUCAUCCUAACCUCUUUGUCAACAGGACCACUAAAAUUAAGAAAAAACACUAAAUUUUGAAUUUUUAACUUCUAAAAAAAAAAACACCCGACCCGACCACUUAAUUUGAAUGUUUUCCUUUCUCAUUUGGAAGCUUUCUCUCAUCUUUCUUCAUUCAUGACAACCCAAAAUUUCUCCUAUUUCAAUUUAGAAACCCAAAUCUGAAACUCUAAAACGGUGUCAAAAUGCGUCUUUUGACGUGCCUCUGGCUCAGAUGCCUCAGCUAGGCGUUUGCCUUGAGCCCUAACCGUAGUUAACUCUCGUCUAGGAGCCACGAGAGUGCAAGAGAAUCCAAUAAAAAUGAAAUGGAGCUCGGGUGGAGAGUAGAUGCCCAAAAACUGAAACCUUAACCUCCAAAUGCGUCUUAGACUCGCAAAUUCAUAUCCAAGAUAGUUCUAUAAGACAGAAAUAGCACCAAACAUCUCUUUUAGACCACCGAAUCGACGAAGCCCUUGAAGAACCAAAGGAAACGGUGCAAAAAAUGAAGCGCGGGAAACUCUUAAAGUAUUGGGUCUUGACAAAAAGAAUAUUAAGAAAAAUAGGUUUUUAAUAUCUUAUUUUAGUAUAAAAAUAAAAAAAUAAGAUAUAAUUAAAAACUUGUAUAUUUUUAAAUUAUUUGAUAUUUAUAUAAAAAAUAAUAUAUUAACUUAAAUAAGUUUAAGAUAGCAUAUAAAAUAAUUUAUCAGCUUUAAAUUUUUUUUUUACUUUUACAUGAUACUUAAAAAGGAAUAUAAAUAGAGAAACAAUAUACUAAAUAAAAUAAUUUUAUCUAUAUAUAAAAAUAAUUUAUUAAUUUAAAAUCUAUUUUUAUUUCCUUUUAACCUUUCUUUCCUUUUUUUUUUUUUUUUUCCAUAUUUUCCAAAUACUUCACAUAGCACUCCACUCCCUAUUUUUUUUUUCUCUCUAAAUUUCAGAAACCAAACAUAAAAUACAAACACUGGUGUAAAGUUUGUAUCUUUGUGAAACUCAUGUAAUCUUGACCCAUAGGAACCUUCCCAUAUAAUUAAAGGAGAAUUACCCAAUAGGGUGGGCUUGGUAAAACAAUUACUAGAAAUGGUAGUCUCUUCUAAUAAUUCUUGGGGAGGAUUUUAAUAGGUUUAAUAUACCAAAACUGUCAUUUAACUAAAAUUUUUAAAAUUCAAAGUAUUUAAAGCACUUCACUUGAUUUGUCGAUACAAUUAUAGUACAUGAGUCUCAUAUUUAUUGUAAUUAUUAAUAUUCAAAUUUUAAAUCAAAAUUUUGGGUUUAACCUUUACAAUUAUAUAUAAUUUGUUAUUUAAAUUUACUAUUUAAAACAAAAAUACUUUUAAAAAGUAUUUUCAAAAUAUCAUUUAUUGUUUUUUUUACAUUUUUUAUUUUUAUUCUAAUUUUUAAUUUUAUUAAGAAAAAAAUAAGUUUUAUAAUUAUAUAAUAAAAAUGAUGAUUUUUUCAUAUAUAUAUAUGUAUAUAUUAUAAUUUUAAAUUGAUAAAUUAUGUUUUUGUUUUAAAUUCAAGGAAGAUAAAAUGUUUAAUUUUUCAUUCAGAUUCUUUAAAAAGAAUAAGAAAAUGAUAGAGAAUGUUUAAUAAUUUUUUAUUUUUAUAAUAAAAUAAUUUUAAAAAAUUUAUAUGAUUUUUUUUCCUUUGCAUAGUGUUUUUUUUUUUUUCAUAUAAAAUUUUUUUUCUCAGUACAUCGACUGGAUGAUGUUAAUAUAUUUGAUAUGUUGAAUAUUAAUAAGGUAUAAAAGGUGAUCAUCGAGAUUAUUACUUUUAUUAUAAAAUAUAGGUACAACAAAAAUAUGUUAUAAUUACCAUAUAAAUACACUUACAUUACAAUAAAACCUAAUUAGGAAAUUUUUGAAUUUUUUUAUAAAAAUGAUAAUUUGGUAAGAUCAUACCAUAUUUUAUAACAUACCUAUAUCAUAAAUAAUUUCUGAAACCAAAUGAAAUACUAAUUUGAAUUCACGAGACUUGUAGUUUAUAUAUAUAAAUGAUUAAAUAAUUUCAAAACACUAAAUAAAUGUUGUUAAUAUAUUGAUACGAUGCGUUAAUACCAACGGGGUAUGAAUAAACAUUUUUAAAAUUAUUCCUUUUGUAAUUAAAUAUAGAUAUGACAUAAAUACAUUAUACUUACAAUAUAAAUACGUGUUAUCAUUACAAUAUAUUACAAUAUAAUUUAAUUUAUUUUUAUUUAAUUUUUUCAAGUGUUAUAUUAUCCAAUGAAUAAUUGUGAGUUAUUCUAUUUAAUAGGUGUGUGUUAAUCAAUUGAAUAUUUACAUAUUAUUCAAUUGAUGAGUGCUCGUAAAAAAUAAUUAUUCAUUAUAUUAUGAUAACAAAGUUUUUAAUUAUAUGUUUUAUAUAUAAAACAAUAUAAUAAUUUUAGGAUAUGGUUUUUAUUUAUGAGAUAAUGAAAAUUAUAUUUUUUUAUAAGGUUCUUUAUAAAAUAUAGCAAAUUUUUAAAUAAUCAUUUGAUUGUUCAAAAGUUAAUAAUAAUUUUUUUAAGCUGAGAAAUAUAUUAUUGAUUACUUAUCAUCAUGCAUGAAUUCCACAACAAUCUCAAUUUAUUUAUAAAUAAUAUAAAAACAUAUUAUAGGUAAAAUUAUCUAUAACCGAGAGAGCCUUCAUAAUAAUUAGUUUUUUGGGCUACCCUGUUCGGUAAUUCUCCGUACAAUUAAUUUCCAGCAAAGGCAGGUGAGUGUUGAGGAGACAAAAUCUGACCCGCUGUUGAAGGGAAAAUGCACAAUUAUUGAAGUGGACGGAAACUUUUAACCUUAUCUGUGGAAGCUGGGUCGUUUUUCAAAACACGAGGCUGCAGCUUGGAACCUGGGGCAUUCUAGCUUUCAUCUUCCCAUGGGAAUUUCUACCCUCCGCACAAGUCAAGAGCAACUUUGUCUUUUCCAUAAAUAUUAGUAUUAUUUGUGUGUUCCUUACCUGAAUUUGAUUCAAGCUUAGCCCUACGGCCUUUUCAACUGAUCCAAUUUCAUAGAUCACAUGGAUGCGCCAGUUCUUUUGCUUCUUCUCACUCUGCUUCUAUCUUCUCCACUUCCAUCGUCCACCCUCGACAGUUUGAGUCAAGGCUCAUCCCUCUCAGUUGGGAAGCCUGAACAAGUUUUGAUUUCACAAAGUGGAAUCUUCUCAGCUGGCUUCUACCCCGUCGGUGAUAAUGCUUGUUGUCUUGCCAUAUGGUUCACCAAACCAUCCUACGACGGCAAACAUACCGCUGUUUGGAUGGCAAACCGAAACCAACCAGUUAAUGGGAAUUUCUCAAAGCUUUCCCUUCUAGAAAGUGGUGAUCUUAUCUUAACAGAUGCUGGGCGGUUCAUAGUUUGGACCAUAAAGAGGGUUGGGAUUUCUCCGGUGCAAUUACACCUCUUCAACACUGGUAACCUUGUGCUGCGUACCUCGGAUGGUGUUAUUCAAUGGCAAAGUUUCGAUUCACCAACAGAUACCCUUCUCCCUCACCAACCACUCACCAGAAAUACGAGACUCGUCUCUUCAAGAACCAAAACCAACUUUUUCUCAGGGUUUUAUAAGCUCUAUUUUGACAACAAUAACGUCCUCAGUCUUGUCUUCGAUGGGCGGGAUGCUUCAAGCAUUUACUGGCCCCCAUCGUGGCUUGUAAGCUGGCAGGCGGGAAGAUCGGCAUACAACAGCAGCAGAACUGCAUUACUAGAUUACUUUGGCUAUUUUUCUUCAACCGACGAUUUUAAGUUUCAGUCCUCGGAUUUUGGUGAGAGAGUCCAAAGAAGAUUGACCCUGGAUAUUGAUGGCAACUUACGAUUAUACAGUUUUGAGGAAGGGAGAAAUAAGUGGGUUGUUACUUGGCAAGCCAUCACGCUACAAUGCAACAUUCAUGGAAUAUGCGGACCCAACAGUAUUUGUACCUAUGUGCCUGGUUCUGGGAGUGGAAGGAGAUGCUCUUGCGUACCUGGAUAUGAGAUGAAAAAUCGCACUGACCGAACUUAUGGAUGCAUACCAAAAUUCAAUCUUUCUUGCGACUCACAGAAGGUUGGUUUCCUCCCACUCCCACACGUUGAGUUCUACGGCUAUGAUUAUGGCUAUUACCUCAAUUACACCUUACAGAUGUGUGAAAAACUGUGCUUGAAAAUAUGUGGCUGCAUAGGAUAUCAAUACAGCUAUAAUUCGGAUGUUUAUAAAUGUUGUCCUAAGCGGCUGUUUCUCAACGGAUGCCGCUCGCCUAGUUUUGGAGGACAUACAUAUCUAAAAUUGCCUAAAGCUAGUCUUCUUUCCUAUGAAAAACCAGUUGAGGAAUUCAUGUUAGAUUGCUCAGGCAACCGCUCAGAGCAGCUAGUAAGAUCUUAUGCAAAAGCCCGCGAAAAUGAAGUGUUAAAGUUCAUCCUCUGGUUUACGUGCGCAAUUGGAGCAGUUGAGAUGAUUUGCAUCAGUAUGGUGUGGUGUUUCUUGAUGAAGGCCCAGCAAAACACCAGUACAGAUCCGCCAGGCUACAUUUUAGCUGCCACGGGAUUCAGAAAAUUCACCUAUAUUGAGCUGAAGAAAGCAACACGGGGUUUCAGUGAGGAGAUUGGCAGAGGAGGGGGUGGGGUUGUAUAUAAAGGUGUCUUAUCAGACCACCGAGUGGCAGCCAUCAAGCAGCUCAGUGGAGCUAACCAAGGAGAAUCUGAAUUCUUGGCAGAAGUAAGUACCAUUGGGAGGCUUAACCACAUGAACUUGAUAGAGAUGUGGGGUUAUUGCUUUGAGGGGAAGCACAGGCUCUUGGUUUAUGAAUACAUGGAGCAUGGAUCACUAGCACAAAACCUCACUUCCAAUACACUUGAUUGGCAGAAGAGGUUCGAUAUUGCGGUGGGCACAGCAAAAGGUCUGGCUUAUUUACACGAAGAGUGCUUGGAGUGGGUUAUACACUGCGAUGUGAAGCCUCAAAACAUACUCCUAGACUCUAAUUAUCAGCCAAAGGUGGCAGACUUCGGCCUGUCAAAGUUACAGAACAGAGGAGGAAUCAACAAUUCGAGAUUGUCGAGGAUCAGAGGAACGAGAGGUUACAUGGCUCCAGAAUGGGUUUUGAACCUCCCCAUCACCUCCAAAGUAGACGUUUAUAGCUAUGGUAUUGUGGUUCUGGAGAUGAUUACCGGCCUAAGAAGUGUUGCAAAUGCCAUCCACGGUACAGAUGGCAUAGGGGAACGUCAGAGUUUGGUGGCAUGGGUGAAAGGGAAGAUGAAUAGUGCAACUGCAGUUGCUUCGUGGAUUGAAGAAAUCCUAGACCCGUCGAUGGAAAGCCAAUAUGACAUGGGUGAGAUGGAAAUUCUAGUAGCAGUGGCUCUGCAAUGUGUGGAAUUGGACAAGGAUGAAAGACCCACCAUGAGUCAGGUGGUCGAGACGCUUCUCCGCCCUGAACGUGGAAACAAUCAUCACUAUUAAUAAAUCAAUGCCUCGUAUGGGGCCCAAGUGAAGUGGCUUUCUAUACCUAUUCCGCCCAUUUAUGAUAUUUGUAAAAAAACAGAGUAAUUUUAUUCCCAAUAUCUCUCCUUGGUGCUCUUAUCUUAUUAAACUCCUUUUUUUUUUUUUGCAAUAUUAACUAUUAUAUUUUAUAAAAUCCUUUUUAAAAUUUGUUGAAUUUGAUCUAUUUUAUCCUCACAUAAUUUGUAGCAGGAGAAGUUUUUCUCCUCAUCAUAGAACAAAUUCUUAUAUAUGUAGUAUACAUAUAUGAAAGGUAUAAAUGGUUUUAGCUUUAGUUGAUAUCAUAUAAUUUCUCAUUGAAUCUAUUCUAAUGUGACUUUAAAAUUUUUCAAAAUAUAAAUCAAUUCCUCUUCCUUUGUGUGUUAGUGAAUGAAUUAGUUUAAAUGUCAUAGGUUUUGACUUUUUAGACAGCUAUUUAACCUAUUUUAAAUAGCUCUGCAUCACACCAUCACUUCAACCUUCCUUGACAUUUUUUUAUUUAUUUAUUUUAAUUACCUUUGGAUGGUAUCAUUGCUCGGAAAAAUUUGAUGAAUGUAAAAGGGAAAUGGAAAAUCGUGGGGCACACAUACAUUAUGGAGUCAAAAUCUUUGAAAGAUGUAAAAUUGUCGUGCAAUUCAAUCUAAUGUAGAUGGACAAAAAUGUCAUCUUAUUGAUCAAGCAUAGAUGGAAAAUCAAAUGAAUGAGCCACCCUGCAAAUGUUUAUUUUCAAGUAUUUCUUUUUUUUUUUCAACUUAAGACCUCUUUUUGGAAAUUUAUUAUUAAAAAUAUUUUAAUCUCUAAUUUUUUAUAAGUGUCUUUUCAUAAGCAUGUUGAUUAGAAAGAAACAAAAAUAUAUUUUUAAAUUAUUUAAUCUAACACAAGAAAGACAAGUAAAAUUUUAUAAAAAUAAUUUAUUAAUUUUAAAUUUAUAUUUUAUUUUCAUUCAUUUGACAUACCUUCAAUAAUUAGUAUAAAUUAAUAUAAAUGUUUUAUAUAAUUCGUUUACAUGCAUUGUAUAUUAUGUACAAACAGGAACAAAAUGAAUGAGCCACUGUAUGUGACAAAUAAAUACAUUUUUAUAAAAUCUAAAUUUAAUUUUAUAGUAUAUGACAUGGAUUCUGGCGUCAUCUUCCACAUCACUGAACUUCUUCUUUACCUAUUUCAUUGUUCUCUGCUUCCAACGCUUCCCACUAUGAACGUCUCUAGAAAAAACUGUCCGGUGUGGCUCUCCUCUUGGCUCUACCACAGUUGAGAUUUUCGGCUUGAUGCCUUCGCUCUAUCUCAGGUGGUCGGCUUUGGAGCAUGGAUGGCUGCAGAUCUGCCAAGUUGUUGGCCAUGAAUCUCCCGAAUCCACUUGCUGCUAACCGUUUGUAUUAUUCAAUUGUUGAAGGCCGAUUUGAGUUGAAAGGCCAAUGGGCCAUGGGAAGCAAUGGUUGCUUCACCCAAUUUUUUAAAAUUCGUUUUAAGUAAUACCAAAAUUUUUAUUGUAUGAAGUAUUGAUGUUAUUAUUAUCUUUUCAUAUUGAUUUUAUUUUUUAAUUUUUUUUUCUUAGGAUUUUUUUUCUUUUCACUUUUUCUCCCACCUUUCUUUUAUUUAUAUUUUCUCAUAAUCAAAUAUGGCCUUAAAUUUAAUCGCAAGCAAAGUGUUAUGUAGACAAUUAAUAUGUUCUUACUAUUUUGCUUUUAUGGCCAUUAAAUUUAAGGACUUCAGGUGAUGGCAAUAGGGUGAUUUUUUUUAGGUAAUAGUCCAACCUGCUUCUAAUAGGAUGAGUUUGAAAUUUAAAUAAAUGAGUUUGAAGUAAAUUUAAGUUUUUUUAAACUCAAAAUGAGUUUGGAUAUUGUCACAUCCCAAUUAUAUAUAAAAUUAAUUUAAUUUGAUUUUUUAUUUUUUUAUUUUUAAUAAUAAUAAUAAUAAAAAAAUACUUUUUUAAUAAAAUAAGUUAUAAAAAUUUAUAAUAAUCUAAUUAUAUAAAAUAUCUUUAUUUUAAUGUAAUUAAAUACUCUAAUAAGUUAUAAAAAUUUAUAAUACUCUAAUUAUAUAAAAUACAUUUUAAAUAAUUUUAAAUGAGGUAAGGUAGGACGAGUAUGAGAAUUUUUUUUACCUAUCCCACCCCGUCCUGUCAUGUUUAAUUUUUUUAAUGGUACAAGGUUGGAAUAUGUGCUUUCUAUUCUAAACCGGUCUCAUUAUCAUCCCUUCAUGUGUCUGCAUGAAUAUAAGAUAUUAGUGAAAAGUUUGAAGUAUGAUAUUAAAAAUUCAAUUCACCAUUUAUUUUGUAAUUAUACUUCUAAAUAUAAGCAUGAAAGGGCGAAUUGACAUAAUAGAAGGCCUAACUGCUCAUGUUUUUAUUUAUUUAAAUUAAUAUUUAUUAAUAAUUUAUUUAUGUAAUAAAAAAUUUGUAAUUCAAAAUUUGAUUUUACUAAGUGAAGUACCUGAUGUCCAGAACUGGAGGAACCUAAAGAAAGAGAAGAACAAAAAGUGACACCAAGACAUAUCCCAAAAGCCUAAUGGCCCAUCCCCCUACAAAUUCUAGCUUUAUAAUUAUUGUCCUAAAAGAAAAAGAUGAACAAGUGUUUUUUCGUCAUAUAAUGUUAAAAAAUUAAAGUAUCAAUUUUUUUUUUUUAAACUUUCUACCAAAAAUAAUUUAAUUUCAUAUUUCUAAUUGUUUUUUUUAAACCUUUUGUCACUUAUUAUUUAUUUUUUAAAUAUUUUUACUAAAUUUAAAAAGAAAAAAAUAUAUAUAUUUUAAAUAUUAAAAAUAAUCUAUUAAUUUUUCUUUACUUAAUAAAAAUAAUAUAUUUAAAAAAAUAAAUAACUUAAUAAUUAAUAUUAUUAAACACUAUUUAAUUUUAAAUUCAAUUUACAAUUAAGUUUAAAAAACACCACUUAAAUGUCAUUAUUGCAACGGACAACAACAUUAACUCUACUCUUUUAUAAAAUCUUUUAUUUUAGGAAAUUUUAAUUUCCAAAUGAAGUAGUUAAGAGAAAAAUAAACAUUGUGGUUGAACUUAAUCGAAAUAAAUAAACCAUAAAAAAACACUUGAAUGGAUUAAGGACCCUUUUUUUACGCCAAGGUGGUGGUGAUAUAUUGAUUUGAGUAAGAAUUUUAUAAUUUCCCAAAAGAAAGAUAAAGUGGAAAAGCAACAUUUAUUAAAAGAUAGAUACAUUAGAAUAUCAUAUCUAAAUUUAGUAUUUUUCUUUUCUCUUCUUUAUAAAACUAAAUAAUAGAAAUCAAAUACUUUUUCCAACUUCUCGUACUGAACCGUUUCGUUUUUCAUUUCAUCUAAUUUUACCUUCAAUUCAUUUCUUUCCUAUUUUAUUUCUUGAAACAUGUAUUGACUAAAACCUCUGUACCAAUGUUUCAGGACAUGAAGAGGUAGCCAUCCUGCUCCGCCCUCUCCUCCGGGCACAUAAGCUUCUCAACUACCUGGCUCAUCGUGGGUCUUGAGUCCCUGUCUUCCUCUACACAUUCCAAGGCAACUCCAAUCAGAAUUUCCAUCUGGCGCAUGUCGCAUUCGCCUUGCAUCACAGGGUCCAGGAUGUCUUCAAUCCACGACCCCCUGGCACCAAUCCCAUUCAUUCGAUCCCUCAUCCAUUUAAUCAACCCACGCUGCUCUGUCUCUCCUUGGGCAUCAGUAUCGGAGAUAGCAGUUGGGCUCUUCCCUGUCACCAUCUCCAAAACUACGAUUCCAUAGCUAUAAACGUCUACCUUGGAGGUUAUGGGAAGGUUGAAUACCCAUUCAGGAGCCAUGUAUCCUCUGGGUCCUCUGAUCCUCGAGAAACUUGAAUUGUCAAGCCCUCCUCUGUUACGCAGUUUCGACAUCCCAAAAUCGGCCACUUUUGGCUGGUAAUUAGAGUCCAAGAGUAUGUUCUGAGGCUUGACGUCACAGUGCAGAACCCACUCCAAGCAUUCUUCGUGUAAAUAAGCUAGGCCUCUGGCCGUGCCAAGCGCUAUUUGGAACCUCUUCUCCCAAUCAAGAGUAUUGGAAGAUAGCUUUUGUGCCAAGGAUCCAUGUUCCAUGUACUCAUACACCAAAAGCCGGUGCUUCCCCUCUAUGCAAUAUCCCCACGUCUCUAUUAAGUUCAUGUGAUUAAGCCUUCCAAUGGUGCUCACUUCUGCUAGAAAUUCUGCUUCUCCUUGAUUGGCUUCUUUGAGGCGCUUGAUUGCUGCCACUCGACGAUCAAGCAAUACACCUUUAUAUACCAUUCCUCCACCUCCUCUUCCAAUCUCUUGGGUGAAACCUCGCGUGGCCUUCUUCAACUCUGCAUAACUGAAUCUUUUAAACCCGUUUGCAGCGAGGAUGUAGCCUUGCAUGGUGGAGACUGGAUCAUGGUGUACCCUAACUAAGAAAAUCCAUACCAGCAAGACAAUUGCCGUCUCUACAACUCCCAGUACGAAGGCAAACCAUAGCAAAAACUUCAAUGACCCAUUUUCAUGGCCCUUGCGAUAUGUUGUAUCUAGCUGUAUAUAACGAGUGUUGCCUGAACAAUUUAUGGUGAAUUCUUCAAGGGGAUCAUAUCUGGGAAAGAGACUAGCUUUAGGCAGUUUUAGAUACAUGGUUCCAGGGUAAUUUGGCGAACUGAAUCCAUUAAGCAAGAGGGUCUUUGGGUAACAAUUGUAAAGGCCGUCGCUAAAAUUUAGCAGGAAGGCCUUGCAUUUGCACAACUGUAAGCAUAGAUUUUCACACCUUUCAUAGGUGUAGUUGGGGUAGUGACCAUAGUCAUAGCCGUAGAGUUGAACAUGAGGGAGUGGGAAGAAGCCCACCUCAGUUUGGUUACAAGCGAUAUCAGUUUCUGGUGCACACCCAUAAGACCAGUCAGUUGAAUUUACAAUCUUGAAUCCAGGCAUGCAAGAGCAUCCUCUGCCAUAAGCAGGGGUGUAACUGCAGAGACUGUUGGGUCCGCAGAUGCCAUGAAUCUGGCAUGGUUGGGAGAUAGCCUGCCAUGAAACCGACCAGGUUCCUCUCGUUUCUUCUAGACUAUACAUUCUAAGAUUGCCAUCGAAAUCGAGGGCCAAUCUUCUCUGAGGCCCCGCCCCAAAAUCCGCUGACCGAAAUUCCAAAUCAUCUGAUGCUCUAUAAUAACCCAAAGAAUCGAAUACUGCGAUUCGACUGUCGUUGAAUGUUUUCCUUCCAGCAUCCCAGGUCACCAGGCUUGGGUCUGGCCAGUAGAUGCUGGAAACCUCAGUACCAUUGAAGAGAAGGCGGACGACGUUAUCACUGUCAAAAAAUAGCUUAUAAAAACCAGAAGAAUAGUUGCUUUGGCUUCUUGAUGAGAUAAGGCUGGUAUCUUUGGUCAGUAUCUGGUGAGGAAGAAGAGUAUCUGUGGGUGAGUCAAAGCUCUGCCAAAUCACCGUCUUCUCCCAAGCAUACAGUACAAGAUUGCCUGUGUUAAGGAGCUGUAAUCUCACAGAGGAGGUUGAAACGGUGUUGAUCAUCCAAACCAUGAUUUUACCAGCAUCAGUUAAGAGGAGAUUGCCAUUCCUCAACAAAGAAAGCUUGGAGCCUCUACCGUUGACCGGUUGGUCACGGUUCGCCAUCCAAACUGUGGUUGCACCCAAUGAUUUUGUGAACCAUAUGGCGAAGCAGAAAGUGUUGUUGCCGACCUGGUAAAACCCAGCAGAGAAUAUACCAUUUGCUGAAAUGAGAACGUCACUUGAUUUCUCCGCAGAAAGAGAUGAGCCUUCGCUCAGAGUAUCAUACGUGUCAGAUGAAGAUGGAUAGCAAGUUAAUAGCAAAGCCAAAACAAAGAAACCAACUGUCCUAUCCAUGAGUUUUAAGAUAUGGUUUAUGUGCUCUGUUUCUCGGAUAUUUGCAAUGGAGAAUACAAGUGCAUG